CUCUUUCAACUAGCAUUAUUUACUCUGCCCAAGAAAAGCUGGUUUCAUAUGCGCUACACAAGCAGAUCAAGCACACUGCAUCACAUUACUUGCCAACUGAACAGACGUGCUUCAGAUAGGUUUUUUUUUUCUCUUGGUGGAGUCUGAAAAAGAACUGGAAGAAACACUGAGCCAAAAAAUUGUGCCGUUAUUACAUGAGUAACUCACUGCCAAGGCCUUCGCAGGAAGCACUGCAUACAGGGUGGGAGCAACUGAUGGGUAAAUCACCCUGGAGAACUUCGCAAAUAGCUAUCAUCUAUGCAGUACACGAAGCCUCUGAAACAUAACACCAACAAAUGGUUGCCCCCCCCUCAGCCCCCCAAUCCCUUCCAUGGGUGGAAUUGGAGCAGAUGUCACUAGUGCUAGGAGAGAGGAAUGCAAGCAGAUUUAAGUGGCAUGCA
This is a non-coding RNA of Pantherophis guttatus, 440 nucleotides long. The record is from RefSeq and is a predicted model, not a curated record. Lineage: Eukaryota; Metazoa; Chordata; Lepidosauria; Squamata; Colubridae.